UGGGGAAUAUUGCACAAUGGGCGCAAGCCUGAUGCAGCCAUGCCGCGUGUAUGAAGAAGGCCUUCGGGUUGUAAAGUACUUUCAGCGGGGAGGAAGGGAGUAAAGUUAAUACCUUUGCUCAUUGACGUUACCCGCAGAAGAAGCACCGGCUAACUCCGUGCCAGCAGCCGCGGUAAUACGGAGGGUGCAAGCGUUAAUCGGAAUUACUGGGCGUAAAGCGCACGCAGGCGGUUUGUUAAGUCAGAUGUGAAAUCCCCGGGCUCAACCUGGGAACUGCAUCUGAUACUGGCAAGCUUGAGUCUCGUAGAGGGGGGUAGAAUUCCAGGUGUGGCGGUGAAAUGCGUAGAGAUCUGGAGGAAUACCGGUGGCGAAGGCGGCCCCCUGGACGAAGACUGACGCUCAGGUGCGAAAGCGUGGGGAGCAAACAGG
Molecule: ribosomal RNA, 429 nt
Filed under: Chloroflexota bacterium
Lineage: Bacteria; Bacillati; Chloroflexota
Description: Chloroflexi bacterium partial 16S ribosomal RNA
Rfam family: Bacterial small subunit ribosomal RNA
Source: RNAcentral